RNAcentral lists this ribosomal RNA (274 nucleotides) under uncultured bacterium. RNAcentral's name for it is "partial 16S ribosomal RNA". It matches the Rfam family "Bacterial small subunit ribosomal RNA", at positions 523 to 796 of the family's 1533-position model. The record is from RNAcentral.
AUACGGAGGGUGCAAGCGUUAUUCGGAAUCACUGGGCGUAAAGCGCGCGCAGGCGGCUAUUUAAGUUGGAUGUGAAAGCCUACGGCUCAACCGUAGAACUGCAUCCAAAACUAUUUAGCUAGAGUGUGGGAGAGGAAGAUGGAAUUAGUUGUGUAGGGGUAAAAUCUGUAGAGAUAACUAGGAAUACCAAAAGCGAAGGCAAUCUUCUGGAACACUACUGACGCUGAGGCGCGAAAGCGUGGGGAGCAAACAGGAUUAGAAACCCUAGUAGUCC